RNAcentral lists this ribosomal RNA (510 nucleotides) under uncultured bacterium. RNAcentral describes it as "partial 16S ribosomal RNA". It matches the Rfam family "Bacterial small subunit ribosomal RNA", at positions 28 to 507 of the family's 1533-position model. The record is from RNAcentral.
GACGAACGCUGGCGGCGUGCUUAACACAUGCAAGUUGAACGAAGAGCGGUGGAAGCCUUCCUCUCUCAAAGUUAGCGGAGAAUGGGUGCGUAACGCGUAAUCAACCUGCCCGUCAGCGGGGGACAACAGUUGGAAACGACUUCUAAUACCGCAUACGCUCUAAUCACGGCAUCGAGGACAGAUGAAAGGUGGCCUCUACAUGUAAGCUAUCACUGAAGGAGGGGAGUGCGUCUGAUUAGCUAGUUGGAGGGGUAACGGCCCAUCAAGGUGAUGAUCCGUAGCCGGUCUGAGAGGAUGAACGGCCACAUUGGGACUGAGACACGGCCCAGAAUCCUACGGGAAGCAGCAGGGGGGAAUCUUCCGCAAUGGACGAAAGUCUGACGGAGCAACGCCGCGUGAGUGAUGACGGCCUUCGGGUUGUAAAGCUCGGUUAAUCGGGACGAAAGGCCUUCUUGCGAAUAGUGAGAAGGAUUGACGGUACCGGAAUAGAAAGCCACGGCUAACUACGUG